Molecule: RNA transcript, 2930 nt
Organism: Enhydra lutris kenyoni (northern sea otter)
Lineage: Eukaryota; Metazoa; Chordata; Mammalia; Carnivora; Mustelidae
Gene: ABCB6
Gene name: ATP binding cassette subfamily B member 6 (Langereis blood group)
Exons: 19
Source: RefSeq, a predicted model, not a curated record
GGGGCCCACGUGUGUCCCUGCCCAAGACCCCUGCGGCUUGGCGCCCCUCGGCUCCAUGACCCGAAACACCCCAGCGUCCGCGCCCCGCCCCAGGCAGCUGGUCCCGUUUGCCCUUCCUGCAGUCCCCGCAGUCCCCGCAGUCCCCACAGCCUCGGCCAGCGGCCACGUAUCGCCAUGGUGAUCGUGGGCAACUACUGCGAGGCCGAGGGGCCUUUGGGGCCGGCCUGGGUGCAGGGUGGCUUGAGUCCCUGCUUCUUCUUCACUCUUAUGCCCUCGACACUGAUGGCCCUUGGGGCUCUGGCCUUGGUGCUAGCCCUGCCUUGCAAGCGCCGAGAACGGCCUGCUGGCGCCCGCGAGGUGUCUUGGAGCUCCGGGCCUCUUGUCGCUCCCUACGUACUGCAGCUGCUUCUGGCCACACUUCAGGUGGCCCUGCCCCUAGCCAGCCUGGUUGGCCAGGUGGGCACUGCGGGGGGCGCCCCGCUGCCAGGCUACCUACUGCUGGCUUCCAUACUGGGGACUCUGGCCAGCGCCUGUGGCCUGGGGCUGCUCGUGGUGGAACGUAACCAGGCCUGGCAGAAGCUAGCUAUGGGCAUCUGGAUCGAGUUCAGGCACAGCUCGGGUCUCCUGCUCCUCUGGACUGUGGCAUUUACAGCUGAGAACUUGGCCCUUGUGUCUUGGAACAGCCCACUGUGGUGGUGGGCACGGGCAGACUUGGGCCAGCAGGUUCAGUUUAGCCUGUGGGUGCUGCGGUAUGUGGUCUCUGGAGGGCUUUUUAUCCUGGGACUCUGGGCCCCUGGACUUCGUCCCCAGUCCUAUGCCUUGAAAAUUAAUGAAGACGAUCAGGAUGUAGAGAGGAGCGAGGUUCAGUCAGCAGAGGCACCACCACGAUCUACAUGGCAAGACCUGGGCAGGAAGCUCCGCCUACUGAGUGGCUACCUGUGGCCUCAAGGGAGCCCAGUUCUGCAGUUCAUUGUGCUCAUCUGCCUGGGGCUCAUGGGCUUGGAACGGGGACUGAACGUGUUGGUCCCCAUCUUCUAUAGGGACAUAGUGAACUUGCUGACUGAGAAGGCCCCUUGGAGCUCCCUGGCCUGGACCGUUACCGUCUAUGUCAUCCUCAAGUUCCUCCAGGGGGGUGGCACAGGCAGUACAGGCUUCGUGAGCAACCUGCGCACGUUCCUGUGGAUUCGGGUGCAGCAGUUCACGUCACGGCAGGUGGAGCUGCGCCUUUUCUCCCACCUGCACGAGCUGUCCCUGCGCUGGCACCUGGGGCGCCGCACCGGGGAGGUGCUGCGGAUUGUGGACCGGGGCACGUCCAGCGUCACGGGGCUGCUCAGCUACCUGGUGUUCAACAUCCUCCCCACACUGGCUGACAUCACCAUCGGCAUCAUCUACUUCAGCAUGUUCUUCAACGCCUGGUUUGGCCUCAUUGUGUUCCUCUGCAUGAGUCUUUACCUCAUUGUGACCAUUGUGGUCACCGAGUGGAGAACGAAGUUUCGACGUGCCAUGAACACACAGGAGAAUGCCACCCGGGCCCGAGCUGUGGAUUCUUUGUUAAACUUUGAGACGGUGAAGUAUUACAAUGCGGAGGGUUACGAAGUGGACCGCUAUCGAGAGGCCAUCCUCAAGUACCAGGAUCUGGAGUGGAAGUCAACAGCUUCAUUGGUUCUACUGAAUCAGACCCAGAACCUGGUGAUAGGGCUGGGGCUCCUCGCUGGCUCCCUGCUUUGUGCGUACUUUGUCAGCGAGCAGAAGCUACAGGUUGGGGACUUUGUGCUGUUCGGCACCUACAUUAUCCAGCUGUACAUGCCGCUCAACUGGUUCGGCACCUACUACAGGAUGAUCCAGACAAACUUCAUCGACAUGGAGAACAUGUUUGACCUGCUGAAAGAGAAGGCAGAAGUGAAGGACCUGCCUGGAGCAGGGCCCCUGCGCUUCCAGAGGGGCCAGAUUGAGUUUGAGAACGUUCACUUCAGCUACUCCAGUGGGCGAGAGACCCUGCAGGACGUGUCCUUCACCGUCAUGCCUGGACAGACACUGGCCCUGGUGGGCCCAUCGGGAGCUGGGAAGAGCACAGUGUUGCGCCUGCUGUUUCGCUUCUACGACAUCAGCUCCGGCUGCAUCCGAAUCGAUGGGCAGGACAUCUCCCAGGUGACCCAGAUCUCCCUCCGGUCACACAUUGGAGUCGUGCCCCAGGACACCGUCCUCUUCAACGACACCGUUGCCAACAACAUCCGCUAUGGCUGCGUCACUGCUGGGGAUGAGGAGGUGAUGGCGGCUGCUCAGGCUGCCGGCAUCCAUGAGGCCAUCCUGAAUUUCCCUGAAGAAACCAAAUGUAGCCUGUGUGACUUGAGGGAGGUGGGCGAUGUUCACAGGAUACGAGACGCAGGUGGGUGAGCGGGGACUCAAGCUGAGUGGGGGAGAGAAGCAGCGCAUUGCCAUUGCUCGCACCAUCCUCAAGGCUCCAGACAUCAUUCUGCUGGAUGAGGCAACAUCCGCACUGGAUACAUCUAAUGAGAGAGCCAUCCAGGCUUCUCUGGCCAAAGUCUGCGCCAAUCGCACCACCAUCGUAGUGGCACACAGGCUCUCAACUGUGGUCGACGCUGACCAGAUCCUUGUCUUUAAGGAUGGCUGCAUUGUGGAGCGAGGACGGCACGAGGCUCUGUUGUCUCGAGGCGGCAUGUACGCAGACAUGUGGCAGCUGCAGCAGCGGGGACAAGAAGAAGUUUCUGAGGACACCAGACCCCCAGAGUGAGGCCAGUGACUAAAGCUGCGGCCACGUCCCUCCCAAAGGAGAACUCAGAGGGGAAGAAGAUGUAUCCCUUCUCCCGGCACAUUUCAUCCCAGUGAAGGGAUAUGGUGCUAGCCAUAGCAGAGGAAAAGAACCUUUCAGAAAAGCACUUUUUGGGGAAAUAAAAGUGUGGACCAUGCUA